Molecule: long non-coding RNA, 1448 nt
Organism: Drosophila albomicans
Lineage: Eukaryota; Metazoa; Arthropoda; Insecta; Diptera; Drosophilidae
Exons: 4
Source: RefSeq, a predicted model, not a curated record
CAGGUGGAGUUCCAUCCCUGGCCCGCGGUCCGCAUAAUCGAUAACUCCAUCGAUACAAAACAGCUGCUUUACAACGGAAAAACUCAUCACUAAUAAGAAAACAAACAAAAAGGUAAUAGCCUUUUUUGCUGCACUCAAUUUUUUUUACGUUUCGCACCGACGAACGUAACAUUCGACCUGAACGGAAAAAAAAACAAAAAAAAAAAAAAACCGAGGUUUUUGGUGCAGUGGGAAUAGGCUAUUAAUAUACAGCUACCGCGCAAUUUUAAAUUGCGCUGAACAAAAGGAAUUACAAACAAGUAAGAAAGUUACAGUCGAGAAUAUUACAAAAAUACUACAAAUAUACCAAAUUGUAUAUAUGGUAUAUCGAAAUAGUACCACAUUCAAAAUAGACCAUAGACAGAUUGUCGGCCAAAGCUACUAAAACCUAUAUUACGCUUGUUACUCGAUUUUUUUUAUUUGCGGGGGCGGAGGUGGGCGUGGUAAAAAUUUGAAACAAACUUGAUCUGCGUGCGAACAUAUACAAUGCUGUCGAAAAUUAUAGCUCUAUCUCUAAUAGUCUCUGUGAUCCAGUGUUUCAUACGGACAGACACACAGACGGACAUGGCUAGAUCGUCUCGGCUAUUGAUGCUGAUCAAGAAUAUAUAUACUUUAUACAUACAUUUCCUGCUGGAACAAAUUAUAAUACCCUUCUACCCUAUGGGUAGCGGGUAUAAAAACUAUUGACGACGCUGGACCCUGGCGUAACCACCCUACUUGAGAUGGCCACAUCGGCGCCAUCUCCCUUGCGUUGGCCGCUACAGCAGUGGCUGCUCCUCAUCUGGCGUAGUGCUGUGGAAUUCCCCAUCCCAAGAAACGAUCAUGUUCACCGUCGCAAAUGACAAACAAAGAACAAAAUAGCGCAAAAGGAACGAGGCGAAGCAAUAUAGCCACAACGGCGUAAAGGACAAUUUCUUUUAUAUGUUACGCAUUUGGGAGAUUAGUAUAUAUUCAUUUAUUAAUUUAUAUACGCAUGUUUGUGUAUAUGUACAUAUAUAUAUAUGUUUACGUCGCUUAAUUCUCUACCUUGACCUACCUAAGAGCUCUUGGGCUUGGUUAAGGGGUGAGGUAAUAGAAGAUAUAUGUAUAUAUAUGAAUUUGUAAAUAUCAAUAUGUAAAUCUCGCCGCGAGUAAAUUUGUAGGUUUGUAUGUAUGUCGUCCCUACUCUUGCUUUAAUAUUCUUUAAUUGCUUUUAACUUUUAAUUUCUUUUCUUUUCAACCAAUUUAAUAUCUUUUUUUUUUGGUUUUACACAAACAUCUUUUGGUUGCUUUGUCUCAUUCUAUAAUAGUUUAUUACUCUAAUCAUAGUAAAAAUUAUAAAUAAAUGAGUAGUAAUUGACCAAAGCGAGAAAGUCAAUAAAUGAAUAAAGGUCUCAAAAACUCCGGAAUAAGCAGCGAAUGUAAUGUCA